Molecule: ribosomal RNA, 471 nt
Filed under: Pseudobranchus striatus (slender dwarf siren)
Lineage: Eukaryota; Metazoa; Chordata; Amphibia; Caudata; Sirenidae
Description: partial large subunit ribosomal RNA
Rfam family: Bacterial large subunit ribosomal RNA
Source: RNAcentral
GGCCGCGGUAUCAUAACCGUGCGAAGGUAGCGUAAUCACUUGUCUUUUAAAUAAAGACCUGUAUGAAUGGCAAAACGAGAAUUCAACUGUCUCUCAACCCAAAUCAAUGAAACUGAUAUUCCCGUGCAGAAGCGGGGAUAUUUAUAUAAGACGAGAAGACCCUAUGGAGCUUUAAACGUAAUCUACCUAAUCUAUUAUUAUUAACCAAAAGACUAAAUAUUAAAUACUUAGAAAUAGCUUAAGUUUUUGGUUGGGGCGACCACGGGAUAUAAAUUAACUUCCGAGAUGAACAAUAAUUAGAACGACAGUUCAAAAUAAUAAAAUAUUUAACACAAUUGACCCAAUUUUUGAUCAACGAACCAAGUUACCCUAGGGAUAACAGCGCAAUCCUUUCUAAGAGUCCUUAUCGACGAAUGGGUUUACGACCUCGAUGUUGGAUCAGGACAUCCCAAUGGUGCAGAAGUUAUUAAA